RNAcentral lists this non-coding RNA (30 nucleotides) under Homo sapiens (human). Lineage: Eukaryota; Metazoa; Chordata; Mammalia; Primates; Hominidae. The record is from RNAcentral.
GNGAGAUUCAGUAUUGACACCUGGUGGACC